GGAAGUAAAAGUCGUAACAAGAUCUCCGUUGGUGUACCAGCGGAGGGAUCAUUACCGAGUGCAAACUCAUAACCCUUUGUGAACCUAUAUCUGUUGCUUCGGCGGCUCGCUCUCGGGCGAGCCCGCCGGUAAUAUCAGUAUCUCUGUUUGAACCCGACGAUACUUCUGAGUGUUCUUAGCGAACAGUUAAAACUUUUAACAACGGAUCUCUUGGCUCUA
Molecule: unclassified non-coding RNA, 219 nt
Filed under: plant metagenome
Description: partial contains small subunit ribosomal RNA, internal transcribed spacer 1, and 5.8S ribosomal RNA
Rfam family: Eukaryotic small subunit ribosomal RNA (bases 1-54)
Source: RNAcentral